Molecule: ribosomal RNA, 483 nt
Filed under: Triticum aestivum (bread wheat)
Lineage: Eukaryota; Viridiplantae; Streptophyta; Magnoliopsida; Poales; Poaceae
Description: partial small subunit ribosomal RNA
Source: RNAcentral
CUAGCCUUCUGUCAGCGGUCUGGAGGCUCCCAGUUCUGGCAGUCCAUCAUUCAGUUGCUCCCGGUCCUCCGCAUCGGGACCUCUAUUUUGAUCGGUUUUGGCGCGUCCACCCUGUUCUGGUUCGACUAUUGGGCCAGCGACCACCCUUUCGCGGCUUGUUUCCCGGACUUGUUCGCCAUCACGGUCGAACCUAGGAUCUCUGUCGAGGUGGCCCUUAUUGACUUAGGGCACCUCGCGUUCUGGCGUCCGUUCAGGCCUAUGGAGGCUCUCGACUGGCAAGACCUCCUAAACUGCAUCGGCCUACAUAAGCCUAACUUGGAGUAGGCGAACGACCGCUCGUGACGGCUAGAGCAAUCGGGUAGCUUCUCCUCUAAAUCCCUUUACCAGGCCAUCGUGGUGACACCGGGACCAGAGCUUCUCGUGGUGAUCUGUGCAAUCCGGCUCCCGCUAAAGAUUAGGAUAUUCCUGUGGCAAUGGAUCUGA